Molecule: ribosomal RNA, 546 nt
Filed under: uncultured Glomeromycotina
Lineage: Eukaryota; Fungi; Glomeromycota
Description: SSU rRNA
Rfam family: Eukaryotic small subunit ribosomal RNA
Source: RNAcentral
UUGGAGGGCAAGUCUGGUGCCAGCAGCCGCGGUAAUUCCAGCUCCAAUAGCGUAUAUUAAAGUUGUUGCAGUUAAAAAGCUCGUAGUUGAAUUUCGGGAUUAGUACGCUGGUCGUGCCUUCGGUACGUACUGGUGUUACUGAUUUCUACCUUCUGACGAAUCAUCAUGUCAUUAGUUUGGUGUGGUGGGGAAUCAGGACUGUUACUUUGAAAAAAUUAGAGUGUUUAAAGCAGGCUCGCGCUUGAAUACAUUAGCAUGGAAUAAUGAAAUAGGACGUUGAUCCUAUUUUGUUGGUUUCUAGGAUUGACGUAAUGAUUAAUAGGGAUAGUUGGGGGCAUUAGCAUUCAAUUGUCAGAGGUGAAAUUCUUGGAUUUAUUGAAGACUAACUACUGCGAAAGCAUUUGCCAAGGAUGUUUUCACUAAUCAAGAACGAAAGUUAGGGGAUCGAAGACGAUCAGAUACCGUCGUAGUCUUAACCAUAAACUAUGCCGACUAGGGAUCGGAUGAUGUUAUUUUUAAUGACUCAUUCGGCGCCUUACGGGAAAC